This 492-nucleotide ribosomal RNA is filed under the name uncultured bacterium. Its description in RNAcentral is "partial 16S ribosomal RNA". It matches the Rfam family "Bacterial small subunit ribosomal RNA", at positions 29 to 507 of the family's 1533-position model. The record is from RNAcentral.
AGUGAACGCUGGCGGUAGGCCUAACACAUGCCAGUCGAACGGCAGCACAGUAAGAGCUUGCUCUUACGGGUAGCGAGUGGCGGACGGGUGAGGAAUACAUCGGAAUCUACUUUUUCGUGGGGGAUAACGUAGGGAAACUUACGCUAAUACCGCAUACGACCUACGGGUGAAAGCAGGGGAUCUUCGGACCUUGCGCGAUUGAAUGAGCCGAUGUCGGAUUAGCUAGUUGGCGGGGUAAAGGCCCACCAAGGCGACGAUCCGUAGCUGGUCUGAGAGGAUGAUCAGCCACACUGGAACUGAGACACGGUCCAGACUCCUACGGGAGGCAGCAGUGGGGAAUAUUGGACAAUGGGCGCAAGCCUGAUCCAGCCAUACCGCGUGGGUGAAGAAGGCCUUCGGGUUGUAAAGCCCUUUUGUUGGGAAAGAAAAGCAGCAGGUUAAUACCCCGCUGUUCUGACGGUACCCAAAGAAUAAGCACCGGCUAACUUCGUG